Molecule: ribosomal RNA, 490 nt
Filed under: uncultured Propionibacterium sp.
Lineage: Bacteria; Bacillati; Actinomycetota; Actinomycetes; Propionibacteriales; Propionibacteriaceae
Description: bacterial SSU rRNA
Rfam family: Bacterial small subunit ribosomal RNA
Source: RNAcentral
AGAGUUUGAGUCCUGGCUCGAGGACGAACGCUGGCGGCGUGCUUAACACAUGCAAGUCGAACGGAAAGGCCCUGCUUUUGUGGGGUGCUCGAGUGGCGAACGGGUGAGUAACACGUGAGUAACCUGCCCUUGACUUUGGGAUAACUUCAGGAAACUGGGGCUAAUACCGGAUAGGAGCUCCUGCUGCAUGGUGGGGGUUGGAAAGUUUCGGCGGUUGGGGAUGGACUCGCGGCUUAUCAGCUUGUUGGUGGGGUAGUGGCUUACCAAGGCUUUGACGGGUAGCCGGCCUGAGAGGGUGACCGGCCACAUUGGGACUGAGAUACGGCCCAGACUCCUACGGGAGGCAGCAGUGGGGAAUAUUGCACAAUGGGCGGAAGCCUGAUGCAGCAACGCCGCGUGCGGGAUGACGGCCUUCGGGUUGUAAACCGCUUUCGCCUGUGACGAAGCGUGAGUGACGGUAAUGGGUAAAGAAGCACCGGCCAACUACGUG